UGAGGAAUAUUGGUCAAUGGGCGAGAGCCUGAACCAGCCAAGUAGCGUGAAGGAUGACUGCCCUAUGGGUUGUAAACUUCUUUUAUAAAGGAAUAAAGUCGGGUUAUGGAUACCCGUUUGCAUGUACUUUAUGAA
This 135-nucleotide ribosomal RNA is filed under the name uncultured bacterium. RNAcentral's name for it is "partial 16S ribosomal RNA". It matches the Rfam family "Bacterial small subunit ribosomal RNA", at positions 355 to 486 of the family's 1533-position model. The record is from RNAcentral.